UACAAAUAGAUAAAAUCCUAGCCCAAAAACUUUCAUGGCUAACCCAGUGUGAUUGCACUCAACUCAAGCCCAUCUACACCCAUAACUCGAUAUGCUCUCAUCCCUUUGAAAGCAAAUCUAGCUCAAACAUAGAUUAACCCAUUCAAGAUCCAAAUCUACUAGGCCUCAAGACCCUCAAGGCCCUAAUUCCUGGGCAGCA
Molecule: long non-coding RNA, 199 nt
Filed under: Elaeis guineensis (African oil palm)
Lineage: Eukaryota; Viridiplantae; Streptophyta; Magnoliopsida; Arecales; Arecaceae
Description: long non-coding RNA (EGUI_LNC002524)
Source: RNAcentral